Molecule: ribosomal RNA, 251 nt
Filed under: uncultured prokaryote
Description: partial 16S rRNA
Rfam family: Bacterial small subunit ribosomal RNA
Source: RNAcentral
ACGUAGGAGGCGAGCGUUGUCCGGAAUUACUGGGCGUAAAGAGCACGUAGGUGGGAAUUUAAGUCAGGUGUGAAAGACCGGGGCUCAACCUCGGGGGGGCAGUUGAAACUGGGUUUCUUGAGGGCAGGAGAGGAAAGCAGAAUUCCUGGUGUAGCGGUGAAAUGCGUAGAAAUCAGGAGGAAUACCAGUGGCGAAGGCGGCUUUCUGGACUGCCCCUGACGCUGAGGUGCGAAAGCUUGGGUAGCAAACAG